RNAcentral lists this unclassified non-coding RNA (348 nucleotides) under soil metagenome. RNAcentral describes it as "partial contains 5.8S ribosomal RNA, internal transcribed spacer 2, and large subunit ribosomal RNA". The stretch from base 1 to 120 matches the Rfam family "5.8S ribosomal RNA", at positions 35 to 154 of the family's 154-position model. The record is from RNAcentral.
GAUGAAGAACGUAGCGAAAUGCGAUAAGUAAUGUGAAUUGCAGAAUUCAGUGAAUCAUCGAAUCUUUGAACGCACAUUGCGCCCGCCAGUAUUCUGGCGGGCAUGCCUGUCUGAGCGUCAUUUCAACCCUCAAGCCCCCGGGUUUGGUGUUGGGGAUCGGCUCUGCCCUUCUGGGCGGUGCCGCCCCCGAAAUACAUUGGCGGUCUCGCUGCAGCCUCCAUUGCGUAGUAGCUAACACCUCGCAACUGGAACGCGGCGCGGCCAUGCCGUAAAACCCCAACUUCUGAAUGUUGACCUCGGAUCAGGUAGGAAUACCCGCUGAACUUAAGCAUAUCAAUAAGCGGAGGA